UAAAAAAAAAAAAAAACAGGGAAAGGGAGAGACCUCACUGAUCCAGAGAAGAUGGAGAGGAGGAGGCCCAGUACCAGAAAGCCUCCCGCUUCCUAUCUGGGUAUCCCC
Molecule: unclassified non-coding RNA, 108 nt
Organism: Dipodomys ordii (Ord's kangaroo rat)
Lineage: Eukaryota; Metazoa; Chordata; Mammalia; Rodentia; Heteromyidae
Source: Ensembl